This 492-nucleotide ribosomal RNA is filed under the name uncultured bacterium. Its description in RNAcentral is "partial 16S ribosomal RNA". It matches the Rfam family "Bacterial small subunit ribosomal RNA", at positions 29 to 507 of the family's 1533-position model. The record is from RNAcentral.
AGUGAACGCUGGCGGUAGGCCUAACACAUGCAAGUCGAACGGCAGCACAGUAAGAGCUUGCUCUUACGGGUGGCGAGUGGCGGACGGGUGAGGAAUACAUCGGAAUCUACUUUUUCGUGGGGGAUAACGUAGGGAAACUUACGCUAAUACCGCAUACGACCUACGGGUGAAAGCAGGGGAUCUUCGGACCUUGCGCGAUUGAAUGAGCCGAUGUCGGAUUAGCUAGUUGGCGGGGUAAAGGCCCACCAAGGCGACGAUCCGUAGCUGGUCUGAGAGGAUGAUCAGCCAAACUGGAACUGAGACACGGUCCAGACUCCUACGGGAGGCAGCAGUGGGGAAUAUUGGACAAUGGGCGCAAGCCUGAUCCAGCCAUACCGCGUGGGUGAAGAAGGCCUUCGGGUUGUAAAGCCCUUUUGUUGGGAAAGAAAAGCAGCAGGUUAAUACCCCGCUGUCCUGACGGUACCCAAAGAAUAAGCACCGGCUAACUUCGUG